Molecule: ribosomal RNA, 253 nt
Filed under: uncultured bacterium
Lineage: Bacteria
Description: partial 16S ribosomal RNA
Rfam family: Bacterial small subunit ribosomal RNA
Source: RNAcentral
UACGUAGGGUGCGAGCGUUGUCCGGAAUUAUUGGGCGUAAAGGGCUCGUAGGCGGUUUGUCACGUCGGGAGUGAAAACUCGGGGCUUAACCCCGAGCCUGCUUCCGAUACGGGCAGACUAGAGGUAUGCAGGGGAGAACGGAAUUCCUGGUGUAGCGGUGAAAUGCGCAGAUAUCCGGAGGAACACCGGUGGCGAAGGCGGUUCUCUGGGCAUUACCUGACGCUGAGGAGCGAAAGUGUGGGGAGCGAACAGG